This is a long non-coding RNA of Musca domestica (house fly), 5629 nucleotides long. RefSeq lists it as uncharacterized. The record is from RefSeq and is a predicted model, not a curated record. The transcript is spliced from 7 exons. NCBI's taxonomy places the organism in Eukaryota, Metazoa, Arthropoda, Insecta, Diptera, Muscidae.
GAAACAAACGGUUUGAAAUUGUAAAUUUAAUAUAUAUAGAAAAAUAUUUGUAAAAAAAUACUAGACCUUGUGUCUAUAAUUAUAUUUUAUUAUAUUAGAAAAUUAUGAGUUUUAACUAUUGGGAGUCUGAUCUAGAGUAUCCUCUAUCAUUUAUCAGAAAGGACAUAAAUAAGGUAAAACUUAUUAUUGGUCAACUCUAAAGCUAAAACACUUAAGUUAAAAUUAGCGUUUAUUGGAGGAUCUGGGCAUUGAGAAAUUAUUGUUCUUCUGUGAUAAUCAUGUAAAUGAUUUGAUGUUAAUCUGCGGACAAUAUACAUUUUGUUGUCUAGUUGGUUUACUUGGUGUCUAUAAUUAUAUUUUAGCCUCAAUCAGUAAGUUCAAGUACUUUUUAAAAACAUGACAAUCGAGCAAUGGUCAAAAAAGAAUAUAGGAGAAGAGAAGCAGUUAAUCCAUUACUGCAUCUGACAAGCAGUUGUAAUUUUUUUAACAAUACUCAACACACUACAAGAAGAAGGGAAUGAAAUUUGUCAAAUUUGCCGCAGAUAAUAAAAUGUCUGUACAGGUCUGUGGUGUGCCUUAACCUAUGGAUGUCUGGUUAGGUGGCAUGACCUAUUUUUGUAAUGUCAUAAUAAGCGAGCCAUCAAAUACACUGAGAUAUCACAUUAUACAUUUCGUCAGAUUUCAAAUAUAAUCUACCCUAAAAAACAUCAAAUUCUAACGGUAAAGUUUCAUGUCCAGGAGUGGUGGAAAUAACAUGACAAAUAUUCUGAAAAAUAAUCAAAAUUUGAUUUGGAUAUUAUACCUGCCACACUAUUGGAAGGAUUAUUGCAAGUACCAAAUAAAAUAUCUACACAUAUCACUUGUAGCAACUACUACGGAUAUUCACAGGAAAGACUUCGGUUUAGUGCAGAAUCCAUAAAUCAGAUUUUAACAUCACUUAUUUUGGGUUGUGAUUAUUAAAAACAGACCUAAAAUAAAGCAUUAUUCGAGGACAGCCAGUAAAUAUACCAGUGAAGCAGUUUGGAUAAUGCAGUUAAAUCUCUAAAAAAACAAUCUAGUGGAUAAAGUCGUUUAAAAUAUGGGUUAAAUCAAAAUACGCUACAUAGACGUACAUAAUCAAUGCUCUGUCACCGGAGGUAGAACCCAUUACAAAAAUAAAAAAAUGUGACUAAAAACGUCAAAAUACCGAAAAUCGGAAGGUGCUGUUAUAUGGGGGCCAUAGUAAAAUGUUCUGCAACAAACUAUUAAUAUCAUGUUUGGAACAAUUCCGUGGAAAAAUGUGAUUAAAACCAUCAAAAUACUGAAGUUUCAACAAACUUAGAUACUGCGUUUGUUUUCUGUUUGAGAGUUAUAGUGCCAAAAAGCCAGACAGACAUUAAUAAAACUCCAAAUGUCCUAAAUCAAUUUCGUACAAAGGGAAACAAGUGAGCAAAGGCUAUAGUCGUUCGGGGCCUAUCAUGUGAUUUUGAAAGUAUUCAAUAAUAAUCACAGACACAUGGACAUGUGUAACCACUGAAAUACAACAUUUAUAUCAGGAUUUGAAGGAUGUGGAUGUUACAACUUACCUGGGGAUUGUAAAAAAGUGACUGUAUAUCAUGACGUAUACUAUGAGAAAAUCAUUAGAACACAACAACAUGCCAAUCAAAACGAAAAACAAAAAUAUUAUAUCGUUUUUUUUCUCAAGAAAUACUAAACCGGGCUUGCUGUUGUCAUUCGAUUUGAACGCUAUUGUGUAGCAUUGAGGUUUGUAGUCAACACAGAGCAGCCAUAAAUCUUAUCAAUGGAUCAGUACAGCGGCAGCAGCAGCAAAAACGAACAAUUGAACAGUAAACAAGUGUGUACAUUACAAAUGCAGUUCUAAGCCUCUACGAAUAUGGUGAUGAUGGUAGAACAUAAAAGGUUCGCAAUAGUUGGUGGUUCCGAGGCAUAUCCUACUAGCGCACAAAAUAAACAAAUAAAAAGCAUGAAGUUCAGCCGGGCCGAAUUUUGAAUAUCCUUCAUUUUGAGAUACUAAUGGAAUUGUCUGAUAAAGUUAUAUGGGAUAUAUUAAUUAUCAAAUUUGAAGCACUUUCGUUUAAAAUAUGUGGCUAAAGUCAUUAAAGUACACAAUACCUAGUUGUGCCGUUUUAUGGUUGAAAUAGUAAAAUGUGGACCUAUAUAGACAGUGUUCUUCCGUCAGAUGUAUAUCCCAUCACCAACCACAUACGCCGAAUUUUAAACAAAUCUUUUGGAAAAUGUGUCUUAAAUCCAAAAAUUACCGUGGAGCUUGUACACAUUGUUCUGUCACAGGAUUCAGAAGCCACCCCGAACUCUAAAUACCGAAUUAUAAUCGUGAUUGUAAUCGUAAAACGUAUACAUAAAUUCUACUCAAUAGCUCUAAAAUCAAAACUAAUGCUUUCGACUGAUUUGCUUGACUGCCAGUAAUUGGUUUGUAAAUCCAUUAUCUGGUAACGAGAGUUUUCCCACCAAAAAAGAAUUAAAUUUAUUCAGAAUAAACAGUUCACAUGGGGUCAUGAAGGAAACAUUCUGUUCUCUAUAUUUUAAUGAAUUCUUUAUAUUCACUUCUGAGGAUCUUGCAAAAGACAUGAUCCACAUGCGAAAUUAACAGCAUCUUAGCCGCAUGAUUUUGUAAAAUUCAUGACUUUUUUAUUCCCAUUAAAUUACUUCCUUGUCACCAAACAUGGAUAAAAUAUGAACAUUUCCAUAUAAAAUAUGGAAAAAUUGUAUAUUUGUUUAUUAAUUUCGGAUCUCUUCCAGCCAAUUUGGAAUAAGUAAGAGUUGUUAAAUUUGUUAAAUCUAUCAUAGCAAACCUUUUUUAAACCUUUUAUCUCAUCUUAUAUUCCAUGUGCAACACUUUGAACUUAUUGUCGAAUACUGUAUAUUUAAAUAGAAACAUGCUAUUUUAUGCAGAAUAUUUCGUGAAUUCGAUAAUUACACUUUUUUAUCGCCCAUAAGACUAUUAGGUCUAAAAAUUGAGCAUAGUCCGUUUAUCAAGUCUUCCAUCUAGUCGUUCAUCAAAACGUUUUUCCGGUCUUCUAUAAAAAAGUCCCUGCUGUUGGUUUAUAAAUACUGAAAAUUCUUCCAUGUUAGUUAUCUAUAAAUAUUUCCUUUUUUUUUGUUUUAUCCUUCUGGCAAUCUAUUAAACCCUCUCCUCCACGUCGAAAGACGUAUAUAUAAAUCUAAAAACUCGCCUGGUCAUAUAUAACGGUUUCCUUGUCCAUCUCUGGUAUUUUAUAAAGUCUCCCUUCCUGUUGUCCUAUUUGGCUCCUUUUUUCCCUAUCAUUUAUAUCUCAUUUAUAACUAUUUUGUAUUUGUAGAAAACUUUCUUAUCCCUAAGUAUAAAACUUUGCUGAUUGGCUGUGAGGACUACCUCUGUGUUGUAUAAAGACUUCUUUUUGGAUUUCUUUAAGAACCCACUCUGGCCAGGGUCCACAUAGACACUCUUUAGAUCAUUUAAAAAGACUUUUCUUCUUGGUGUUUUAUAAAAAACUAACAUUUUGUACCUUUUUGUCGAUUAUGAUGACAUUCAGUUUAUAGUUUCUAUGGGCGACCAUAAGAGGCCCAUAGAAACUAUAAACUGAAUGUUUGUAAAUACUCAAGAAUUUAUUUUUUAAUUAAUUUCUUUUGGUCAGAAUGCAUUUAUGAACUCUCUUCGGAUAGUCCAUUAAGACUUUCUUUGGAUAAUAUAUAAAGGCUUACUUUUUGUAGUUCAUAAAAAGGCUUGCUUCGGGGUCAAUAAAUACUUCUUUCUGAGUUUCUUUGAAGAAUCCUUUCUGGAAAUCUUCAAAAGUCUAAGUUCUGGUUGUACAUAAAUAAGUAUUCCCUUCUGGUCGUAUAUUUUCGGGAUGUCUUUUGUAGUUUGUAAAGUUCCCUUUUGAUUGUCACUUAUCGUUUUACCAAUAAUUAUUUCCUUUUAGCCUUUUAUUAAAACGAACUUCUGUUAGUGUCAUUCUCGAAAACUCAAACACUCAAAUAAAUUCCUGUUUGCGAUCUCUUUUUCCACAUGCAUAUAUUGUUUUCGGAUAGUCUAAAAAGACUUACUAAUUGAUCUUCAUAUAGCCAUUAAAAUAGAAUCUUAUAUGCCUAUUGAGCCAUUUAACCAACGGCGAAACGCGUCGCAUCCUGGUUUUAACGUGGGGCUUCGCUAGAUUCCAAUUUUCAAUGCCAUCAAUAGGUCAUAAUAAGCUCGACACGCAAGAGAAAAAUUAUGAAAUAUCCAUCAAAAAUUAACUGUAAAAAUUUUAGACGAACUCUAAAAAAAUCAAACAAGUGGUUUUAAAAAAAAAAAUGGAAAAUUGGUAUGGAUUAUAUUCGAACCAUGCGAAUAUAAUAAUGUUGAAUUGGUUCCACUUAUUUUGAGUUUUGUUCAGUUGGCUAUAAACUUGUUAACUCUAAAUCUCGUUCAUUAUUUAUUUUUACACCAAAUGGAUUACUUAUCAAUUGGCUAUUCUUGGAAUACCUGAGAAUUUGGUAUUUAUAACACUUAUUAUCAAGCCAUAUAUAAAAUAUGUCAUAAUGUUUCAAUUUAAAAUUUAACCCAAACAAAGGCAGUCGUAAAUAUUGUUUAAUGUUAAGGCCUAAUAGAGUAUGAUGUAGCAUAAACUUGCGAAAAUAAUGGCACAGUGAUGAUUGUAUAUUUAUUUCUAUUGACAACUAAAAAAACUCUAUAAAUUCGUAAUUAUAUUCAGCUUAUGUGGUUUAUAGGUAUGUUUAAUAUUAACUCUGCAGUCUUUGUGUAAAAUCCUAUAUAUACAAAAUGUAUGAUUAACGUACUUAUAAUAAUGCAUUCUAACCACAACCUCUUUGUUGGAGGUAAAAAUUGCUUCAAUAGUUCCGAGUGUGUUUACAUAUAGCAUUAAGUGAAUUGCAAUGGAAAAUGUUUUUGUGGUAUUAUCAUAGACAAAUAAAGGUAUAUACUAAAAAGUUGUCUCAUCUGUUAUCUUCGAAAAAACAUUUCAAUAGAUGUCGUUCAUGCUGUAAGAGAGGUUCAGUGGACUCACUCAAUUCUCUCAAAAUACAAAAUAUUGAAUAUUUUUAUGAUUUAUUACUAUUUAUCAAUUAAAAUCUAAACAGUGACUUUGUUUACAUUGACAUGACCCAAAUAUGUUGUGAAAUAUAAAAAUAUAAAGCUUAAAUAGCAGAAAAAUGAAUAAAUUGUUUUCGAACUCGAGUGACUUCACUAGCCCUGAGUGACUUCACUGGCCCACGAUAAACCAGAGUGACAUCUGCCGGAAGGGGUAAAUUUUAAAGCUUUUUAGUCUAUACCUUUAUUUGUCUAUGGUAUUAUCACAUAUCUAAUAAACAAAAAAAAGCCAUUAAAUUGUGUUAAAAAAGAUAAACACUGAAGUACAUUGGAAAGAUAAUGUCGCGACUUGAAAGUAAACAAAGUAGUAUUUGUUGAUAAUACUUUCGGCAAGAGUCAAUUAUGAGAUGUCUUUUCCAUAUCUCCUGAAAUAGUACAUGUUAGAGAAUUUUCCCCGCUUUGUUGUGGCCCGACUUUAUUGUAUUUUAAAAAUUUAACUGAAUUCUUCUGCCAAUCUCACUAGAACUUAAGAUUAACAUGGAACAUGUUUGUAUCCAGAUACUUUCAUUUUAAAAUAUAUGUACCAAAUGUUGGAGGGUAUUUAAA